CGCAGGCCUCCCAGGCCACUCCCUGCCUCCUCUGUCCUUGCUGGGGCCUCAGGGCCCCUCUUGCAAGCAGGGAAGGGACCUCGAGCCCCUGGGGAGGGUCCGGUCACAGGACCUGGGCUUUGGGCUGUGGCCUGCAGGGCUGGGGCUAGGCCAGGGCUGUACCAGGGCCCCCCUCCAGGCGGGGAGCCCGCACCUGUCCGCAAGCUCUGGGCACUCAUAGUGCUGCCCUCCCACCACCAGGCGCCUUCCCACCUGUUGACCAUCACAGUUCACGGGGGCGUUAGUCCUAAGGCCAGCCGGGUCUCCGCGAUCCACCCUCCCACUGCUGCCCACGUGACAGCCCAGCCCCAUCAUGGAGCCCUCCCCGUGGCCUGAGCCCCUGUUUGCAUUUGGUUCUCUCAACCACCACCCCAGGCCCGGUGCAUGGCUCCCCUGGCCUCGUGUCACAGCCCCACAGGGCUCCCCGUCCUCACACCCCCUGACAUUGUCCUCAAGACAGAGUGACAGCCAUUCUUCUCCCAACAGUCCCAAGACCACACCGGCUGAGGAAUGAGGGGCUUUCCCAGAACUAUUCCAGGAGUAGCAGGACCCAGGUAUGAAUGCAGGGCUGCCUGCUCCAGAGGCCGAGGCACAGAUAAAGAAACUGAGGCACAGAGAGGGAUAGCCCCCGGGGGCUCACAGGCUGUGAGGAGGUGACCGUAGUUCCAGGAGGAGCCCUUCUCAUCUACAGCUGGAAAAGCCAGUCAUCUUGGUGACGACAGCCCAGAGCUUGGGGGCCCAGGACAGAAGGGAAGAGAAUCUAAG
RNAcentral lists this long non-coding RNA (804 nucleotides) under Equus caballus (horse). RNAcentral's name for it is "lncRNA (ENSECAG00000028679.3)". The record is from RNAcentral. Lineage: Eukaryota; Metazoa; Chordata; Mammalia; Perissodactyla; Equidae.